Molecule: long non-coding RNA, 1743 nt
Filed under: Phascolarctos cinereus (koala)
Lineage: Eukaryota; Metazoa; Chordata; Mammalia; Diprotodontia; Phascolarctidae
Description: lncRNA (ENSPCIG00000035712.1)
Source: RNAcentral
UUCUAAAAGAAUUAGGGUUUGAAAGCAAGGAGUUCAUAAAACAACUUUAUCCCCCAUAAUCAAUUUGCAGUGAAUAUCUCCUGUAUUGAUAUACCAGGCAACAAAAUAGCUGAAUGUUGCUUGUAGUUUGUCUUUCAUUUUGCCAGUGAUUAACUUUUUGCAUAUUCUGUCAAAUAUAUUAUUAUUCACAGCUUGAAGUGAUGCUGAGGUGUAUAUAUCUGGAAACAUCACACAGCAGCUAAACACAAAUGUGAGACCACAGAAUAUCAUUCACCAGUCAGCAUUCAUUACUAAAUUAACAUUUAUAAUGUUUCUAUGACUAAGGGCAUCAAUACUUUCUCACUGAUUUGAUGUUCAAUGAUUAUUAUUUAUAACAGAGUUCAAACAAUCAGAAACCCUUCAGUUUGAGGGACUGAAACCAGCUUUGGCUUCUGAGAUGCACAGUGCCACUGGGUGCAUUGGCCUUGAUCCAUUUUUCACGUUCACUGGUUUGGUUCAUGUGACCAUUGAUUGUUAUACCAUUGUCUUUUGGAACUUCUUUCAUUUCUUGUAAAGUGAUUUCUGGAUUCACAUCAACUUUGCUCCCUGACAACUGCAAAUGAGCUUUGAGAGAGGAUGGGACUUUGAUUAUAAUAGACCCUUUCUGGGAUUUCAAGUCCACAUUCCCCAUUUGGCUGACAUAAACAUCUACAGCACCCUCAUGUGUUGAAGCUUUUAGGUAUCCAUUUAAUGACUCUAUUAUGAUGUUACCCAUUUUGCUGUGUACUGUUAAGUCACCAUGAAUACUUCCCAAUGUAAUAUCCCCAGCAGCAGAAGACAGAGAUGAUGACUCUGUAUACAGAUACUUGGCUUUCAGCAAACCAUCUUCAGUAGAUAUGCUAACAGAACUCCCCUGUAGUUUAUCUAUAGUCACAGUCUUAACUGACUGCACAAUGCUGAUUCCUUGUUCAGUUUCUAUUCUACAAUCAUCACAUUCAGCUUCCUGUACCUUUACACAGCCAGUACCUGAUGUCCUGAUAUUCAAAUCGAACUUCAUGGGGACCUUCACCUCCACCGAGGCCUCGUGGCAGAUGCUGUCCGAGACGAUGGCCAUCUGCUUCAGGGCCUAGUCGUACCUCACCUGGAUGCCGUCCAGGUCCAGGCUGCCGCCCUCCACGCCGCUCACCGUGACCAGCACCCGGUCGGAAUCCGGGUAGUGGUAAGGGUCUAGGGGUCUCACGGCGAUGUCGCACGGGAGCCGCUCCUGCAGCCGCCGAAAGGGUUGACAAUCCGCGUCCACUCCUUGAGCGGGGUUUUGCGAGGGACCGCCGGCUCGUUCGAGGGGCUCCUCUCCCACAGGCUGUAGGGUCUGGCUGGGUGGGCUCGGCGCGCCGCCGCUGGGGCCGCGGCAGCCUGGAGCCCGGCCCAUAGCCCUAAGGGGCCGAGCUGGGGGCCGCCUCGCCACCAGCCGGGGCCGGGGACAAGCAUAACCCCGGCUCAAGCCCCGCCCGAGGUCACCACAGCCCCGCAUAGGGGUUCACUGGCCGCUGCUGACCCUGCCACCGCUGACCCGGCAAGGCUAACGAAGUAAGGAACGCACGACGGGUCAGUGUGGACGGUAAUGAACCCCUGGGCCCCAUAAAUUGAGCCCACCCACCCCACCACGAUCUGCCUGCCCUGCACUGCCACCCACCAACAACUCGAGAAUCCCAGGGCCACAGAAGACUCUUUUAAAAAAAUAAAAGUGCUACUCUAGCUGACUCA